CUCUAUUUCAUAAAUUAUCCUUUUAAUCUUUUUAUUUUAUUUUAUUUUAAUUAAUUGUUUAAAAGAAAUCAGUUGAUCUUUUUCUAACCCUAGCCUCCAGCUGUUGAAAGCCUUUCCCUCUUUACUUGCCAACCGCCACCUUCAACCCAUUGAACCCUCCCUCAAUUCUCGAUUUUUCUUAUCAUUUCUUCAUCUAACUUCCCCCAAUCACCCAUUCAUCACCUUCCUCUUUCUUUCUCCUUUAUUCUUGAUCAAAAUCCCCAAAUUCAUCCCGAUCUACCCUAACAAAACCCUCAAUUUUCCGCCAACAUGGAUGGAUUUGAAGCUAUGACCUUCAACAUUCAUGGAGGAUACUUGGAAGCCAUUGUUAUAGGUCACGGAUCUGGAUUGUUAAUUGUUGCUGAUUACAAUAAUUUGUAUCAGUGUGAGACUCUUGAUGAUAUCAAGAUGCAUCUCUCUGCUAAUGAUUAUGGCCCUUAUCUUCAAAAUGAUUGAACAAAGAUAAUGAAAACUUUUGCUUUCAGAAAUCAAGAAAGGCGAAUCUUAUUCAUUUGUUUUUUUUUUUUUCAUUACUUAUUGUAAUUAAAAUACUUGUAUUUUACUGUAAAUUCAUUAUUAAUAAAAAUAUUCUUAUUCAAAGAUUUGCAGA
This is a long non-coding RNA of Chenopodium quinoa (quinoa), 649 nucleotides long. RefSeq lists it as uncharacterized. The record is from RefSeq and is a predicted model, not a curated record. Lineage: Eukaryota; Viridiplantae; Streptophyta; Magnoliopsida; Caryophyllales; Amaranthaceae. The transcript is spliced from 2 exons.